RNAcentral lists this non-coding RNA (89 nucleotides) under unclassified sequences. RNAcentral describes it as "c-di-GMP sequence". It matches the Rfam family "c-di-GMP-II-GAG riboswitch aptamer". The record is from Rfam by way of RNAcentral.
CGUCGUACGGGAGGCUCUGAUCCGCCGGUGGCACCUGACGGCCACCUUCAGCCGACGGGGAGCCACUGGUGAGACCGGCCCGCGGGCCG